This 460-nucleotide ribosomal RNA is filed under the name uncultured bacterium. RNAcentral describes it as "partial 16S ribosomal RNA". It matches the Rfam family "Bacterial small subunit ribosomal RNA", at positions 338 to 795 of the family's 1533-position model. The record is from RNAcentral.
CCUACGGUCGGCAGCAGUGAGGAAUAUUGGUCAAUGGACGAGAGUCUGACCCAGCCAAGUAGCGUGAAGGAUGACUGCCCUCUGGGUUGUAAACUUCUUUUAUAUGGGAAUAAAAAAGGGUAUGCAUACCCUCUUGUAUGUACCCUAUGAAUAAGGAUCGGCUAACUCCGUGCCAGCAACCGCCGUAAUACCGAGGAUCCGAGCGUUCUCCGGAUUUGUUGGGUUUAAAGGGAGCGGUAGUGGAUUGUUAAGUCAGUUGGGAAAGUUUAGGGCUUAACCGUAACAUAGCAGUUGAAACUGGCAGUCUUGAGUGCAGUAGAGGUAGGCGGAAUUCGUGGUGGAGCGGUGAAAUGCUUAGAUAUCACGAAGAACUCCGAUUGCGAAGGCAGCUCACUGGACUGCAACUGACACUGAUGCUCGAAAGUGUGGGUAUCAAACAGGAUUAGAUACUCGUGUAGUC